Benincasa hispida (wax gourd) is the source of this 816-nucleotide long non-coding RNA. RefSeq lists it as uncharacterized. The record is from RefSeq and is a predicted model, not a curated record. NCBI's taxonomy places the organism in Eukaryota, Viridiplantae, Streptophyta, Magnoliopsida, Cucurbitales, Cucurbitaceae.
CUCUCGCAACCCCCCUCCCCCCUCCCAAACCCUCUCUUCACAGCAGCCGACUUUCCCUCUCCCUCUGCCCUUCGACUCUCCCUCUCCCUAUUGCCGGCAGCCGUACAGCCAACCUCCGUUUAUUAGCCCUGCAGAUCCACUAUCCCUCUCUUCAUUCGUCAAGCCUAGAAACCCCUCCCCCCCGCCAUUCGUCAGCCCAGCAAACCCCACUAUCCCUCGUUCGUCAGCCUAACCCUCACUUGCGCCACCUCGUCGUUUCGUCCACAAUCUCGUCGCUCUCCCUCCCCUGUUCCACCGUCGAUCUGGCGGUGGUUCUAACCUCCAUCGGUGGCUAGUCGAAGAUCCCUGGCCUCUGACGCUUACUAUUACAGAUCUGGCAAUGCGAAGGAAUCUGACCGAGACUUGGGUGCUCCAAACGCAGUCCUCUUGGGAGCCCUGUAGAGAGUUUUCAGAUUAGCCAACUCUAGCAAAUAGUCUGGUCAAUUUUCUGCUGGGAGUUAAGCAAAAAGUAAUUGUUCCUCCUGAGGCUAGAUAUGGUCAAAAGAGAAUGAGUGAAAUCCCAGUUGACUUGCUUAAACAUGGCUUACUGACCCUUAGUUCUCGAUCUUUAGACUAAAGCUCAAUGUAUAGAUUAAAUAACGUACUUUGUUGAGAGGUUACUAAUUAAACAAGUUGUCACUUUUGUGUUUGUUGAAAGUUGAAUUUUGUAUAUAAAAAUAAUAAUUAAGAUUUUAUUUUGUGCAUUUACAUGUGAAAGAGAAAUAUUGUUGUAAUUUUCGAGGAAUGUUCAUAUCAAAAGUCAUAGUUGAACAUAUG